AUACUCACUUCAGUAGUAUGUACACUAAAACUGGAAUGAAACAGAGGCGAUUAGUAUGGCCCUUGAGGGAGGACAUUAUGCCAUCAUUUUUGUUACAAGGUUAA
RNAcentral lists this small nuclear RNA (104 nucleotides) under Fukomys damarensis (Damara mole-rat). The record is from RNAcentral. Lineage: Eukaryota; Metazoa; Chordata; Mammalia; Rodentia; Bathyergidae.